This 1101-nucleotide ribosomal RNA is filed under the name Acinetobacter sp. K35-D23P. RNAcentral describes it as "bacterial SSU rRNA". It matches the Rfam family "Bacterial small subunit ribosomal RNA", at positions 376 to 1466 of the family's 1533-position model. Lineage: Bacteria; Pseudomonadati; Pseudomonadota; Gammaproteobacteria; Moraxellales; Moraxellaceae. The record is from RNAcentral.
CGCAAAGCCUGAUCCAGGCCAUGCCGCGUGUGUGAAGAAGGCCUUUUGGGUUGUAAAGCACUUUAAGCGAGGAGGAGGCUACUUGGAUUAAUACUCUAGGAUAGUGGACGUUACUCGCAGAAUAAGCACCGGCUAACUCUGUGCCAGCAGCCGCGGUAAUACAGAGGGUGCGAGCGUUAAUCGGAUUUACUGGGCGUAAAGCGUGCGUAGGCGGCUUUUUAAGUCGGAUGUGAAAUCCCUGAGCUUAACUUAGGAAUUGCAUUCGAUACUGGGAAGCUAGAGUAUGGGAGAGGAUGGUAGAAUUCCAGGUGUAGCGGUGAAAUGCGUAGAGAUCUGGAGGAAUACCGAUGGCGAAGGCAGCCAUCUGGCCUAAUACUGACGCUGAGGUACGAAAGCAUGGGGAGCAAACAGGAUUAGAUACCCUGGUAGUCCAUGCCGUAAACGAUGUCUACUAGCCGUUGGGGCCUUUGAGGCUUUAGUGGCGCAGCUAACGCGAUAAGUAGACCGCCUGGGGAGUACGGUCGCAAGACUAAAACUCAAAUGAAUUGACGGGGGCCCGCACAAGCGGUGGAGCAUGUGGUUUAAUUCGAUGCAACGCGAAGAACCUUACCUGGUCUUGACAUAGUAAGAACUUUCCAGAGAUGGAUUGGUGCCUUCGGGAACUUACAUACAGGUGCUGCAUGGCUGUCGUCAGCUCGUGUCGUGAGAUGUUGGGUUAAGUCCCGCAACGAGCGCAACCCUUUUCCUUAUUUGCCAGCGGGUUAAGCCGGGAACUUUAAGGAUACUGCCAGUGACAAACUGGAGGAAGGCGGGGACGACGUCAAGUCAUCAUGGCCCUUACGACCAGGGCUACACACGUGCUACAAUGGUCGGUACAAAGGGUUGCUACCUAGCGAUAGGAUGCUAAUCUCAAAAAGCCGAUCGUAGUCCGGAUUGGAGUCUGCAACUCGACUCCAUGAAGUCGGAAUCGCUAGUAAUCGCGGAUCAGAAUGCCGCGGUGAAUACGUUCCCGGGCCUUGUACACACCGCCCGUCACACCAUGGGAAUUUGUUGCACCAGAAGUAGGUAGUCUAACCGCAAGGAGGACGCUACCAUCGUGAC